GGGAGGAAAAGGUAGAGGAAGGGAAAGAAAGAGGAAGAGAGAAGAAGAGAAACAGGGAGAGAAGGAGAGUGCCUGAUCCUGAUCCAUAGUAUAAUAGCCUCCCUAGCCUGAUUACAGUUCUGCUUUUACACUUAACCACUGCUCUUUUGGGUACUGGGCUAUUGAAGAACAAUAUUCCAAAUUUUCUGAAAGUUCUUUCCAGCUGAGAGUAUCUCUAGGCACUGGCUUAAUUCUUUCAAAGUCUCAUGACCACACCCUUGAUUUUUAUCUUUACCUUGAGGCCAAGUCUUAAUGUGAAAAUAUUUAUCUGGCAUGAGACAGCAAAGAUGAAAAACAACUUUAGUUUCUAUUCUAAUAAAUUCUAGCAUCUCUUAAUUCCCCAUAUUCUCCUUGUAAACUGUGUGUGUGUUUUUGUCGACAUUUGUUUCUUUCUUGUAGUACUUUAUAUACAACUAGUAAGAGUCAGCUGAUAUUUUCAACAUUCUGCCUGGAGAUCAAGUCCAAAAAUUCAUAAGCUUAUAGAAGAAUACGACAUACAGAAAAAUAUAUAUUCUGCAAAGAAAACACAGUUAUGUAGGGAACCUUUCCAUCCCCAGUCUGGACCCAGGCUUGUACUCAUAAAUCCUGGCUGCCUUCACAGCAUCAACCUAUAAUUUUUUGUCCACCUCGACUUAUGAAUUAUCAAGAGCUCUCUUAGAUUAUCUGCCUUUUAGCAGGGGCUGAGGAUUAUUAAUAUUCCAGCCUAUAUUUAGAAUUGGCAAAUGCCAUUAAGGGACCUGUGAGAGAAAGCCGGGGAAGCAGAACCCUUUGAUGGAGACAACAGAGUCAGGACAAUAUUGUUUAAAACUCCUAAAUCCAAACAUGCCUGAAGCUAUAAGUUACUUCUGAAAUUUAAAAAUUUUUCCUAGGAAAGAAGUUGUUUCAACUCUCAUUGGAGGAAGUAUAAGGUGAUCUCAGGGAAGGCGAGAAGGGCUGGUUGCCUGCCAAAUCUAUAAUCAAGUCGGCUCCACAGUCAUCCAGUGAUUCAAGUUUGACACACCACACCACGGUGGAUGUGCCUUGUCAUGACACAUCUCAGCAGCACUAGAAGAUACAUCCAAAGUCCUGUGAGCAAGGUCUGUGGUAUCUGUUUAUUAUGGCAGCCCAGUAAGACUAAGACAGGCCAUCACAAGACGUGAACGUUUUGGACCUUCUCUUGGGCCCUAGUAAACAGAAAUCAGAAGGAAGAAAACUUUGCUAAUGCUCUGCCAAGCCUCACUUUUCUCUCAUGAUUAGAAGGUUUGAUGUUAUCCAGAAUUACUCAUGGAAGAUGGAAGAGCUGCAGCAUUACAAUGAAAGCCAUCUUACAACAGCCUGAGCUAUUUAUUAAACUAAUCCACGUUCUGAACAGUUAUUGCUACUGGAAACCAGUCCCGAUCCAGACCACAAAAGACGAUUCUUGGAUCUUGCACAAGAAAGAAAGGGACCUGUGAGAGAAAGCCGGGGAAGCAGAACCCUUUGAUGGAGACAACAGAGUCAGGACAAUAUUGUUUAAAACUCCUAAAUCCAAACAUGCCUGAAGCUAUAAGUUACUUCUGAAAUUUAAAAAU
Molecule: long non-coding RNA, 1589 nt
Organism: Homo sapiens (human)
Lineage: Eukaryota; Metazoa; Chordata; Mammalia; Primates; Hominidae
Exons: 10
Source: RefSeq, a predicted model, not a curated record